UACGUAGGUGGCGAGCGUUGUCCGGAUUUACUGGGCGUAAAGGGCUCGUAGGCGGCCAGCUAAGUCAGACGUGAAAUCCCUCAGCUUAACUGGGGAACUGCGUCUGAUACUGGAUGGCUUGGAUCCGGGAGAGGGAUGCGGAAUUCCAGGUGUAGCGGUGAAAUGCGUAGAUAUCUGGAGGAACACCGGUGGCGAAGGCGGCAUCCUGGACCGGUAUUGACGCUGAGGAGCGAAAGCUAGGGGAGCAAACGGG
This 253-nucleotide ribosomal RNA is filed under the name uncultured bacterium. RNAcentral's name for it is "partial 16S ribosomal RNA". It matches the Rfam family "Bacterial small subunit ribosomal RNA", at positions 524 to 776 of the family's 1533-position model. The record is from RNAcentral.